This 1235-nucleotide long non-coding RNA is filed under the name Homo sapiens (human). Its description in RNAcentral is "non-protein coding lnc-IL17RA-36:1". The record is from RNAcentral. Lineage: Eukaryota; Metazoa; Chordata; Mammalia; Primates; Hominidae.
AGCGGCGGCGGCGCGUCCGCGGGCGGCGGGAGCUUCGCAUGCGCGGAGCGAGGCCCGAUGUCGUCGGAGGAGAACAAGUGCGUGGAGCAGCCGCAGCCACCACCCCCCGAGGAGCCUGGAGCCCCGGCCCCGAGCCCCCCAGCCGCAGACAAAAGACCUCGGGGCCGGCCUCGCAAGGCGCUUCCCCUUUCCAGAGAGCCAGAAAGAAAUCUAUUCGGCUUAGCGACUGAAGAUUGACGCUGCCCGAUCGCCUCGGAAGUCCCCUGGACCAUCACAGAAGCCGAGCUUCGGGUAACUCUCACAGUGGAGGGUAAGUCCAUCCCCUGUUUAAUCGAUACGGGGGCUACCCACUCCACGUUGCCUUCUUUUCAAGGGCCUGUUUCCCUUGCCCCCAUAACUGUUGUGGGUAUUGACGGCCAAGCUUCAAAACCCCUGAAAACUCCCCCACUCUGGUGCCAACUUGGACAACACUCUUUUAUGCACUCUUUUUUAGUUAUCCCCACCUGCCCACUUCCCUUAUUAGGCCGAAAUAUUUUAACCAAAUUAUCUGCUUCCCUGACUAUUCCUGGAGUACAGCUACAUCUCAUUGCUGCCCUUCUUCCCAAUCCAAAGCCUCCUUUGUGUCCUCUAACAUCCCCACAAUAUCACCCCUUACCACAAGACCUCCCUUCAGCUUAAUCUCUCCCACUCUAGGUUCCCACGCCGCCCCUAAUCCCACUUGAAGCAGCCCUGAGAAACAUCGCCCAUUCUCUCUCCAUACCACCCCCCAAAAAUUUUCGCCGCUCCAACACUUCAACACUAUUUUGUUUUAUUUGUCUUAUUAAUAUCAGAAGGCAGGAAUGUCAGGCCUCUGAGCCCAGGCCAGGCCAUCGCAUCCCCUGUGACUUGCACGUAUACAUCCAGAUGGCCUGAAGUAACUGAAGAUCCACAAAAGAAGUAAAAACAGCCUUAACUGAUGACAUUCCACCAUUGUGAUUUGUUCCUGCCCCACCCUAACUGAUCAAUGUACUUUGUAAUCUCCCCCACCCUUAAGAAGGUUCUUUGUAAUUCUCCCCACCCUUGAGAAUGUACUUUGUGAGAUCCACCCCUGCCCACCAGAGAACAACCCCCUUUGAUUGUAAUUUUUUAUUACCUUCCCAAAUCCUAUAAAACAGCCCCACCCCUAUCUUCCUUCACUGACUCUCUUUUCGGACUCAGCCCACCGGCACCCAGGUGAAAUAAACAGCUUUAUUGCU